RNAcentral lists this ribosomal RNA (443 nucleotides) under uncultured bacterium. RNAcentral's name for it is "partial 16S ribosomal RNA". It matches the Rfam family "Bacterial small subunit ribosomal RNA", at positions 338 to 795 of the family's 1533-position model. The record is from RNAcentral.
CCUACGGGCGGCUGCAGUGGGGGAUAUUGGACAAUGGGGGCAACCCUGACCCAGCGACGCCGCGUGAGUGAAGAAGUCUUUCGGUUUGUAAACUUCUUUUCUCGGGGACGAAACAAGUGACGGUACCUGAGGAAUAAGCCACGGCUAACUACGUGCCAGCAGCCGCGGUAAUACGUAGGUGGCAAGCGUUAUCCGGAUUUACUGGGUGUAAAGGGCGCGUAGGCGGUGAAGCAAGUCAGAUGUGAAAACCACGGGCCCAACCCCGGGCCUGCAUUGGAAACUAUGGUACUUGAGUGCAGGAGAGGUAGACGGAAUUCCUAGUGUAGCGGUGAAAUGCGUAGAUAUUAGGAGGAACACCAGUGGCGAAGGCGGUUUACUGGACAGUAACUGACGUUGAGGCUCGAAAGCGUGGGGAGCAAACAGGAUUAGAUACCCCGGUAGUC